AGCGAACGCUGGCGGCAGGCCUAACACAUGCAAGUCGAACGAACCUUUCGGGGUUAGUGGCGGACGGGUGUGUAACACGUGGGAACGUGCCUUUAGGUUCGGAAUAACUCAGGGAAACUUGUGCUAAUACCGAAUGUGCUCUUCGGGGGAAAGAUUAAUCGCCUUUAGAGCGGCCGGCGUAUGAUUAGCUAGUUGGUUGAGGAUAUGGCUCACCAAGGCGACGUUCAGUAGCUGGUCUGAGAGGAUGAUCAGCCACAUUGGGACUGAGACACGGCCCAAAAUCCUACGGGAGGCAGCAGUGGGGAAUCUUGCGAAAUGGGCGAAAGCAUGACGCAGCCAUGCCGCGUGAAUGAUGAAGGUCUGAGGAUUGUAAAAUUCUUUCACCGGGGACGAUAAUGACGGUACCCGGAGAAGAAGCCCCGGCUAACUUCGUG
RNAcentral lists this ribosomal RNA (434 nucleotides) under uncultured bacterium. RNAcentral's name for it is "partial 16S ribosomal RNA". It matches the Rfam family "Bacterial small subunit ribosomal RNA", at positions 29 to 507 of the family's 1533-position model. The record is from RNAcentral.